AAAAUUCAAACCUUAAACAAUUUAAAAUAUCUACUAGCACAAAUUUGUUUUCUUAAUUUUCUCUAAUUGUUGAAUAAAAUCUUACAACAAGAUGUUCCAAAAAUUUUUUACAUGAUGCUAAACCUUCCAAAUUAAAUCUUACUAUAUCAGUGAUAAUAGCCCCAAUUCAACUUUACCAAACAAAAAAAGUUGUGGGAAAUCAUUAAAAGAAAAUUUCCUAGGAUUCAUAGUCAAAUUAUUAAAUCAUCCAUAUUCAAAUUGGAAAUUUCUAUAAUAAUAUUGCUUCAAAAUUGUAAUUGACCUCAUAUGUCAAGUGU
RNAcentral lists this unclassified non-coding RNA (317 nucleotides) under Hevea brasiliensis (rubber tree). The record is from RNAcentral. Lineage: Eukaryota; Viridiplantae; Streptophyta; Magnoliopsida; Malpighiales; Euphorbiaceae.